AGUGAACGCUGGCGGUAGGCCUAACACAUGCAAGUCGAACGGCAGCACAGGAGAGCUUGCUCUCCGGGUGGCGAGUGGCGGACGGGUGAGGAAUACAUCGGAAUCUACUCUGUCGUGGGGGAUAACGUAGGGAAACUUACGCUAAUACCGCAUACGACCUACGGGUGAAAGCAGGGGAUCUUCGGACCUUGCGCGAUUGAAUGAGCCGAUGUCGGAUUAGCUAGUUGGCGGGGUAAAGGCCCACCAAGGCGACGAUCGGUAGCUGGUCUGAGAGGAUGAUCAGCCACACCGGAACUGAGCCACGGUCCAGACUCCUACGGGAGGCAGCAGUGGGGAAUGUUGGACAAUGGGCGCAAGCCUGAUCCAGCCAUACCGCGUGGGUGAAGAAGGCCUUCGGGUUGUAAAGCCCUUUUGUUGGGAAAGAAAUCCAGCUGGCUAAUACCCGGUUGGGAUGACGGUACCCAAAGAAUAAGCACCGGCUAACUUCGUGCCAGCCGCCGCCGUAA
RNAcentral lists this ribosomal RNA (506 nucleotides) under uncultured bacterium. RNAcentral's name for it is "partial 16S ribosomal RNA". It matches the Rfam family "Bacterial small subunit ribosomal RNA", at positions 29 to 523 of the family's 1533-position model. The record is from RNAcentral.